This 429-nucleotide ribosomal RNA is filed under the name Acidobacteriota bacterium. RNAcentral's name for it is "Acidobacteria bacterium partial 16S ribosomal RNA". It matches the Rfam family "Bacterial small subunit ribosomal RNA", at positions 355 to 776 of the family's 1533-position model. The record is from RNAcentral. Lineage: Bacteria; Pseudomonadati; Acidobacteriota.
UGGGGAAUUUUGGACAAUGGGGGAAACCCUGAUCCAGCCAUCCCGCGUGUGCGAUGAAGGCCUUCGGGUUGUAAAGCACUUUUGGCAGGAAAGAAACGUCAUGGGUUAAUACCCCGUGAAACUGACGGUACCUGCAGAAUAAGCACCGGCUAACUACGUGCCAGCAGCCGCGGUAAUACGUAGGGUGCAAGCGUUAGUCGGAAUUACUGGGCGUAAAGCGUGCGCAGGCGGUUCGGAAAGAAAGAUGUGAAAUCCCAGAGCUCAACUUUGGAACUGCAUUUUUAACUACCGGGCUAGAGUGUGUCAGAGGGAGGUGGAAUUCCGCGUGUAGCAGUGAAAUGCGUAGAUAUGCGGAGGAACAACGAUGGCGAAGGCAGCCUCCUGGGAUAACAAUGACGCUCAUGCACGAAAGCGUGGGGAGCAAACAGG